RNAcentral lists this long non-coding RNA (484 nucleotides) under Nicotiana benthamiana. Its description in RNAcentral is "long non-coding RNA (NBEN_LNC031717)". Lineage: Eukaryota; Viridiplantae; Streptophyta; Magnoliopsida; Solanales; Solanaceae. The record is from RNAcentral.
CCUGGAUUCCCUCCUCCUCUCAACUCUCUCAGAAGCCCUAGCCCCCACCUAUAUUUCCACGCUAAAACCAUCGGAAUCCAUGGCUUCCAAGGCCAUUGGAGUCCUACACCGAUCUCCAUUAACUCCUACAUGCCUGGUUUCUAAAGAUUUAAGCCUUGACCACGAAGAAGCUUGGUCCAGGCUUCGUUUGAUUCAAGUUCUAUGUCCAUCUACAGCCUUGCUCCAGCAAAUCAUGACCGUUCGAGUUUGACCUAGACCUUUCCUUCUCAUAUCAACGACAUUCCAAGCCUUUCUCACCAUUGGGGUUCCUUUGAAACACUAGCUUUUAAGGUUCUUCUGAUAUCUUUAGAUCCGUCUAGAUAUGUGUUUUCCGUGAGCUUUAAAUGGUUUCUUGAGAUUUCUUUCAAAAACUGUGCUUUCAAACCUUUAUCUUUCCGAUUUAGGGUUUCGUUAAGAUGUUCUCUGAUUUUCUUUUUCUCUUGAG